GAGUUUGAUCGUGGCUCAGAUUGAACGCUGGCGGCAGGCCUAACACAUGCAAGUCGAGCGGAUGACGGGAGCUUGCUCCUUGAUUCAGCGGCGGACGGGUGAGUAAUGCCUAGGAAUCUGCCUGGUAGUGGGGGGACAACGUUUCGAAAGGAACGCUAAUACCGCAUACGUCCUACGGGAGAAAGCAGGGGACCUUCGGGCCUUGCGCUAUCAGAUGAGCCUAGGUCGGAUUAGCUAGUUGGUGGGGUAAUGGCUCACCAAGGCGACGAUCCGUAACUGGUCUGAGAGGAUGAUCAGUCACACUGGAACUGAGACACGGUCCAGACUCCUACGGGAGGCAGCAGUGGGGAAUAUUGGACAAUGGGCGAAAGCCUGAUCCAGCCAUGCCGCGUGUGUGAAGAAGGUCUUCGGAUUGUAAAGCACUUUAAGUUGGGAGGAAGGGCAGUAAGUUAAUACCUUGCUGUUUGACGUUACCGACAGAAUAAGCACCGGCUAACUCUGUGCCAGCAGCCG
This 513-nucleotide ribosomal RNA is filed under the name bacterium enrichment culture clone ALO1_GLFRUDD03GVBFO. Its description in RNAcentral is "bacterial SSU rRNA". It matches the Rfam family "Bacterial small subunit ribosomal RNA", at positions 9 to 517 of the family's 1533-position model. The record is from RNAcentral.